CCUGGAGUCACUGGGCACCCCAGUCCAGCGACGGCUGCCUGACAGUCACUUGGCUGGAGAGCGUCAGCAGCGAUCAUGCUGUGCUGCUUUCCCAGGCCUCGAGGCCGCAGCACCAGGAGCCCGUGCAGGGAAAGCACUUGGGCGCGAGUGAGAGGUUGGAUGGCUAAGUCCCCGUGCUUCAGGCCACUCACCAGGAACUACCUGGCCUUCAGGGGCAGCACAGGGCGGGUCUCCCCAGACCCAGAGACCUGGGAAUCUGAGACGAGCGGGAGCCCAGGGCAGAUCUCCCUGGACCUGGACACCAGACUCUCGGGGCCACCGAGUCCAGGACAGGUCCAGUCAGGCCCGGCCACCACUAUGGGGACCCACAGCAGUACAAGAGGAGCCCAGGAGCGGCACAGACACCGGGCAGCACAGCGCUGCAGAGCUAAAGCCUGAGGAGAGGACCAGCUCCAGCCCCAGCUGAAGUCCCAUGUGUGGAGCCCGAGCCAGCUCCACCUGCAGCUUCCUGCCCAGCGGUGGGACCACAGCCAGAGUCCGUGGCAGCCCCUUCACCUGCUGCAGUGCUGGGGCACCUGGUGGUUGCACGGUGGUCGGUGUCACCUCCUGAGCUCCUCCUGGGGCCAGCUCCCGGGCCCCUCCCACUGUUCCCCUCAC
Molecule: long non-coding RNA, 657 nt
Filed under: Heterocephalus glaber (naked mole-rat)
Lineage: Eukaryota; Metazoa; Chordata; Mammalia; Rodentia; Bathyergidae
Description: lncRNA (ENSHGLG00000025334.2)
Source: RNAcentral